GUAACCAACCUGCCCAGAUCUGGGGGAUAGCCCGCCGAAAGGCGGAUUAAUACCGCAUAAACCAGCAGCCCGGCAUCGGGCAACUGGUAAAGAUUUAUCGGAUCUGGAUGGGGUUGCGUAGCAUUAGCUGGUUGGCGGGGUAACGGCCCACCAAGGCGACGAUGCUUAGGGGACCUGAGAGGGUGAUCCCCCACACUGGCACUGAGAUACGGGCCAGACUCCUACGGGAGGCAGCAGUAGGGAAUAUUGGGCAAUGGCCGAGAGGCUGACCCAGCCAUGCCGCGUGCCGGAUGAAGGCCUUCUGGGUUGUAAACGGCUUUUCUCAGGGAAGAAAAAGACCCUGCGGGGUACACUGACGGUACCUGAGGAAUAAGCACCGGCUAACUCCGUGCCAGCAGCCGCGGUAAUACGGAGGGUGCAAGCGUUGUCCGGAUUUAUUGGGUUUAAAGGGUGCGUAGGCGGCCCGUUAAGUCCGGGGGUGAAAGCCCACAGCUCAACUGUGGAACUGCCCUGAAUACUG
This 520-nucleotide ribosomal RNA is filed under the name uncultured bacterium. RNAcentral describes it as "bacterial SSU rRNA". It matches the Rfam family "Bacterial small subunit ribosomal RNA", at positions 117 to 635 of the family's 1533-position model. The record is from RNAcentral.